AUUGAACGCUGGCGGCAUGCUUUAACACAUGCAAGUCGAGCGGCAGCGCGGGGGGCAACCCUGGCGGCGAGCGGCGAACGGGUGAGUAAUGCAUCGGAACGUACCCUGGAGUGGGGGGAUAACGCCGCGAAAGCGGCGCUAAUACCGCAUAUGCUCUGAGGAGGAAAGUGGGGGGACCGCAAGGCCUCACGCUCUGGGAGCGGCCGAUGUCCGAUUAGCUAGUUGUGGGGUAAAGCUUACCAAGGCGACGAUCGGUAGCUGGUCUGAGAGGAUGAUCAGCCACACUGGGACUGAGACACGGCCCAGACUCCUACGGGAGGCGAGCAGUGGGGAAUUUUGGACAAUGGGGGCAACCC
RNAcentral lists this ribosomal RNA (356 nucleotides) under uncultured bacterium. RNAcentral describes it as "bacterial SSU rRNA". It matches the Rfam family "Bacterial small subunit ribosomal RNA", at positions 28 to 383 of the family's 1533-position model. The record is from RNAcentral.